UGCAAGAUUUUUUUCUUUCCCUUCUCCCUUUCUCUCCCUCACUCUCGCGUCCUUUCUAUCUUUCCCUCCCGCCCGGUUGUCACUCCCCCGUCGUCCACCGCCUUCAGCCGCCGUCGUUCGUUCCCCAUCCCGACUAGAGAUCAUGUCUAGUGGUAUGCUCCUAUACCAUGUGGUCGAGGAUGUGAUCGUGACCCACCACUUCCAGCAGCGCCAUUUGAUGCUUCUUAGGUUGGGGAAGCAGUAUUUUGACCAUCCCCACCACCUGAUAUGACCGCACUAUCACCCACUCCGGCAGACUCCAAAUGAUGAUGGACCAUCUGGAGCUGCACCAACAGCUGCUCCACCACCACCACCACCACCACCAUCAAUAAUCCCCUCAUCAUCACCGCGCCAGUACAUCGACCUCGAAAACACAAGGUCUGACCAUCCCUUCCACGAGCGCAUCAAUGUGGUAGUGCGGGGACACUUUCCCCACUCGUGGCCAUAUCUGAGGCAGGUGCCGCCAGAGCACCAACAUUUCUGGUUCGAGAGCAUGAAGAUGACCUACUGGUGGCUCUAUGACAAUGAGUUCAUGUUCGAGGUCUUCCACAUGUUGGCGGGAAAGUACAUCCCCAAGAUAUUUUCCAUUGCCCGAUCGAGCCUAGUCAAGCUACUUUAACUGGCCAAUGAGGUCUUGCUCCAACUCCAAGCAUACUGGCCAGCGAGGACUUCCAGUUGGAGUCCUCGAAGAAUAAGCGAAUUGGGCGGUGAACUUCACAGCGUCCUCGAUGGUGUACUGCGGGGAAUCUUCCUCUGUUGGCAUACAAAAGUGUAAGUUGGAAGCAGAGUUCGGUCGACCGCCCAAGUAGAUGGAGUUAUUUGAAAAAUGAUACAAGAAAAAGGAGGAUGACGGCUGGAACGGGCUGAGGUGACUAAUGUGGCGGAAACGUUCUAAAAGCUGAUGGAGGAUCGUCAGCCUCAACCCACGGCCGAGGACCAUGAUGCCCUGGUCGAAUUAGAGGCUUUGGUGGCGACGAUGGAGCGGCAGAUGUGGUUGGCUGCAGUCGGGGGCAAGAACAAGGGCCGAGUAUUUGGCCUUGAUUCUGAGGCCCACGUUUUCAGCCGGACCUUCACAUCACCAUCGCCACCGCCACAACCAAACCCGGCCAUGGAGGAUCAUAUCGGCCGCCUCAAGGCGAUGAUGGCUGACAUGGUGUCAUGAUGAGAGAGAUGCGGGCUUCCUCCUUGACCGUAGCACCGCCUCCGACAGAUCCCCUAACCUCGAACCAGGACAAUAUGGUCGUCGUUUUUAUAUUAGGUUUUAAUUUUUUUUAAUUUUGUAAUUAGAUAAUUUUUUGUAUUAAUAUAAUAUUUUUCCUUAA
Molecule: long non-coding RNA, 1361 nt
Organism: Sesamum indicum (sesame)
Lineage: Eukaryota; Viridiplantae; Streptophyta; Magnoliopsida; Lamiales; Pedaliaceae
Source: RefSeq, a predicted model, not a curated record